Molecule: ribosomal RNA, 503 nt
Filed under: uncultured bacterium
Lineage: Bacteria
Description: partial 16S ribosomal RNA
Rfam family: Bacterial small subunit ribosomal RNA
Source: RNAcentral
AUUGAACGCUGGCGGCAGGCUUAACACAUGCAAGUCGAGCGGGGUGAUGGUGCUUGCACUAUCACUUAGCGGCGGACGGGUGAGUAAUGCUUAGGAAUCUGCCUAUUAGUGGGGGACAACAUCUCGAAAGGGAUGCUAAUACCGCAUACGUCCUACGGGAGAAAGCAGGGGAUCACUUGUGACCUUGCGCUAAUAGAUGAGCCUAAGUCGGAUUAGCUAGUUGGUGGGGUAAAGGCCUACCAAGGCGACGAUCUGUAGCGGGUCUGAGAGGAUGAUCCGCCAAACUGGGACUGAGACACGGCCCAGACUCCUACGGGAGGCAGCAGUGGGGAAUAUUGGACAAUGGGGGGAACCCUGAUCCAGCCAUGCCGCGUGUGUGAAGAAGGCCUUAUGGUCGUAAAGCACUUUAAGCGAGGAGGAGGCUCUUUUGGUUAAUACCCAAGAUGAGUGGACGUUACUCGCAGAAUAAGCACCGGCUAACUCUGUGCCAGCAGCCGCGGUAA